GAUGAACGCUGGCGGCGUGCUUAACACAUGCAAGUCGAACGGAAAGGCCCAAGCUUGCUUGGGUACUCGAGUGGCGAACGGGUGAGUAACACGUGGGUGAUCUGCCCUGCACUUCGGGAUAAGCCCGGGAAACUGGGUCUAAUACCGGAUAGGACGAUGGUUUGGAUGCCAUUGUGGAAAGUUUUUUCGGUGUGGGAUGAGCUCGCGGCCUAUCAGCUUGUUGGUGGGGUAAUGGCCUACCAAGGCGUCGACGGGUAGCCGGCCUGAGAGGGUGUACGGCCACAUUGGGACUGAGAUACGGCCCAGACUCCUACGGGAGGCAGCAGUGGGGAAUAUGGCACAAUGGGCGCAAGCCUGAUGCAGCGACGCCGCGUGGGGGAUGACGGCCUUCGGGUUGUAAACUCCUUUCGCUAGGGACGAAGCGUUUUUGUGACGGUACCUGGAGAAGAAGCACCGGCUAACUACGUG
Molecule: ribosomal RNA, 468 nt
Filed under: uncultured bacterium
Lineage: Bacteria
Description: partial 16S ribosomal RNA
Rfam family: Bacterial small subunit ribosomal RNA
Source: RNAcentral